Phrynosoma platyrhinos (Desert horned lizard) is the source of this 73-nucleotide non-coding RNA. Lineage: Eukaryota; Metazoa; Chordata; Lepidosauria; Squamata; Phrynosomatidae. The record is from the annotation of a GenBank genome assembly.
CAAAGAUUUGGUUUAGUGGUUAGAAUGUUCAACUAGGAUCAAAAAGGUCAAGGUUCUAGUCUCUUAUCUAUGA